Molecule: ribosomal RNA, 253 nt
Filed under: uncultured bacterium
Lineage: Bacteria
Description: partial 16S ribosomal RNA
Rfam family: Bacterial small subunit ribosomal RNA
Source: RNAcentral
UAGGAAGGGGGCGAGCGUUGUUCGGAUUUACUGGGCGUAAAGGGCGCGCAGGCGGCUAUUCAAGUCAGGCGUGAAAGCCCCGGGCUUAACCUGGGAACUGCGUCUGGGACUGGGUGGCUAGAGAUCGGGAGAGGGAUGCGGAAUUCCGGGUGUAGCGGUGAAAUGCGUAGAUAUCUGGAGGAACACCGGUGGCGAAGGCGGCAUCCUGGACCAAUACUGACACUGAGGAGCGAAAGCCAGGGGAGCAAACGGG